GGGGAGUCUGGGGUCCGGCGAGUCAAAAUGACAUCACAUCUUAGAUCGCCCAUCUAACCCAAUCCGGCGUAGUGUCCCCGGGGGGCUGAGGCACAAGGGCCGUCUCUGCACACGCAGGUGACACCUAGAGCUGAUUCUUCGCCAUGGUCAUUGUGUAGGAGCCAUCUUGCAGAAAGAAGGUCCAGGCAGACGGCAGCAGGUUCUGCAGGGCUCACUGGGUUGCACGGUACAGCAGACGAAAAGGGUCGGGAAGCAGAGGAGCUUGUAUUUGCUGCUGGGGCCCGUUAAUCCUUUUUAUGCUAUUAAAAGAAAGACAGUAGUGCAACUCAAUUUAAGUUAGGACACGUGACUUCUUUUUAAAUCUCUUCUAACAGCCAUUGCUUUUCCUAUUUCAAUUUGGUUGGGCUAGCCAUGACAGAACGUGAUCCUUUGGGCAGAAGGUCUGGAAGCGUUUGGUCAUACUGGCCUAUGGAGAAUCUUUCACCAAUGGAUGCUUUUGUUUCCAAACGUCAGAGAUAUGCCUCAGACUGGUAUUUUCUUGCCUUCCAAACAGACCCAAAAAACCACACUCAAAGAGUGAUGCACAUCAGAAAGUCAGUGUUUUCCAAAAAUCUUAGUAAAUCACCUGGGACACUUAUAAGAAUUCUGAUUCCCACACUAGAGCAACUGAAUAGGCUCUCGGAAGAGAAGAAAGGUUUUAAGGUAAGAAUCCAAUUUUUGAACCCCUCUCAAGAGCACCCAGUUGGAAAGAAGUACAAUAAAUCACUGCAUUGCAAUAGUGUAACGGUUCUGAGUAGUUGAUAAAAUCUAUACAAAGGCUACAUAGUAAUUUUUUAUUCAGAGUUAGAAUUGCUUUCUUGUUUCUGCAAUUUCAUCUCACAUGACAAGUUUUGAGACUAGAGGUUUCUGGGCCACAUAUCUCAGCCCAUUGUGGAUUCCUCCCUCUGCCCCUGCAGUCCAGUUUCUAUCUCUCCUUUUCAAAAUACUUGGCUCCAAGAAGUCCCUGGUUUCCAGACUGAAUGUUUAUGCAAUCACCAAAAAAAUUGUUUUUAAAAUUUUAAAGCAUGCUUUUACACUGGAACUUGGAGAUUCUUUAAAAUACAACUUUGAUCUUUACUUGAACACCAUUUGACAGCAAAAGGAUUAAGCAAUUGUGGGUUGUUCCAUUAUCCCUGCAGGAUACAUGAGAACUUCAAGGAAUUAUAUAUCACACGAAAGAAACUGCAUUUAAUGUGAUUGAAAGACACAGAGGUUAGAAGGUUAGAAAGCUGACUUUCUGGUUUAUGUCCCCAGGGCAUGAACUAAUCACAAUAUCUAUGCAACCUCAUGGAGAAACUGGGAGUAAUCUUUUGUUCCUCACCUGUUGCUUGCUUUGCCAUUAGGAAACCUCUCUUCCCUUUCCCAUUGGAACAGAUAGAACAGUCUGAUUAUUUGCAGCUAAGCAACUGAAACUUGCUUUCUAUGAGAAGUUCAAUAGAAUAACAUAUUUACCAUUUUUAGUUUAUUUUAUGCGGCUUAUGCAAGGUUAGGAGUUAAUCCAUGUUAUAAUUUUUGCUUAGGAGAAAGUAAAAUGUUUUGUUCUUAAAGUUAUUCAGCCUUUUGAAUAUUUUCUUUUUCUUAUUGAUUAAAUCACAUAUUCCUAAAAAUCAAAGGAUAUGUGAUAGGCUAGUAUCGUGAAACAGGUGGAGAAAUGAAAAUUCAAAGAAUGUUAACAUUUUUGUGUCAAGUAAGUGAAUGAGGCAUUAUGCAAAAGGUAUGAAAGACCCCAGAUCACAGGAUAGAAAAAGCUUCAUUUUUUUUU
Molecule: long non-coding RNA, 1801 nt
Filed under: Ursus maritimus (polar bear)
Lineage: Eukaryota; Metazoa; Chordata; Mammalia; Carnivora; Ursidae
Description: lncRNA (ENSUMAG00000001601.1)
Source: RNAcentral